GAGGAAGAGACACACAAGGAGAGACAGAGAGACCUAGACAGAGAGACAGGGCGCGGGGGGUGUGGGGGCCAGAGAGACCUAAAGAGAGCGCGAGCCAGCCACAGAUGACAGAUGUGCACAGAGGCCAAGCGCUGACAUUUGAAAUUCCUUCAGGUCAAAGUGAGGUUGGAAUGGGAGUGUAAACGUGUGUUGCUAAGAUCUGGAAUUACUAAGAAGUGUUUUCUUAAAAAAAUAAGUAAAAGAGAGAAAAACGAAAAAAAAAAAAAAAUCCCUGGGAUCAGCCUCCUGGGCUUCUUUCUUGCUGGCAUCCCCUGUCAGGGUGGCAGUUCAGAUCAUCGGGCGCCCCAGAGCCGCAAUAGGCUUGCAAGGACCACGAGGAGGGGCGGGGGAAGUGCGUCACCAGCAAGCAGAGCAGACCUCAGCGGCAGCUUUGUGAGGACUUAGCUGGGACCUGGAAGCGUAUCCUCCUGUGUUUUUUCUGACUUCUUGGAAAAUAAGGAAUGCAAUUCUGCCACCAUGAUGGAAGGACUGAAAAAACGUACAAGGAAGGCCUUUGGAAUACGGAAGAAAGAAAAAGACACUGACUCUACAGGCUCGCCAGACCGAGAUGGAAUGCAGGGGAAAAAAAAGGCUCAGAAGACACAGCUUCUCCUCACCUCUUGCUUCUGGCUCAGAGCCCUCUCCUUAACUCUGUCUCAGCAGCCCAGCCCACACGAGCCACCCUACCAUAGCAAAGCAGAGUGUGCGCGGGAAGGAGGGAAGAAAGCUUCGAAGAAAAGCAAUGGGGCACCAAAUGGAUUUUAUGCAGAAAUCGAUUGGGAAAGAUAUAACUCACCUGAGCUAGAUGAAGAAGGUUACAGCAUCAGACCUGAGGAACCAGGCUCUACCAAAGGAAAGCACUUUUAUUCCUCAAGUGAAUCUGAAGAGGAAGAAGAGUCGCACAAGAAAUUCAACAUCAAGAUUAAACCCUUGCAAUCUAAGGACGUCCUGAAGAAUGCAGCGACGGUAGAUGAGCUGAAGGCUUCAAUAGGCAACAUCGCACUUUCCCCUUCGCCUGUGAGGAAAAGUCCGAGGCGCAGCCCGGGUGCAAUUAAAAGGAACUUAUCCAGUGAAGAAGUUGCAAGACCCAGGCGUUCCACCCCAACUCCAGAACUUACAAGCAAGAAGCCUCUGGAUGACACUCUGGCCCUUGCUCCCCUCUUUGGUCCACCAUUAGAGUCAGCUUUUGAUGAGCAGAAGACGGAAGUUCUUUUAGAUCAGCCUGAGAUAUGGGGUUCAGGCCAACCGAUGAACCCAAGUACGGAGUCGCCAGAGCUAGCAAGACCUUUCCCCACUGGAACACCUCCACCUCUGCCUCCAAAAACUGUACCAGCCACUCCGCCUCGAACAGGCUCCCCCUUAACAGUUGCAACAGGAAAUGACCAGGCAGCCACAGAGGCCAAAAUUGAGAAACUACCAUCCAUCAGUGACCUGGACAGCAUUUUUGGGCCAGUGUUGUCGCCCAAGUCUGUUGCUGUUAAUACUGAAGAGAAGUGGGUCCAUUUUUCUGAUGCAUCCCCGGAACAUGUUACUCCAGAGUUGACUCCAAGGGAACAGGUGGUGACCCCACCAGCUGCAUCAGACAUCCCAGCUGACUCCCCAGCUCCAGCCCCACCUGGCCCCACAGGCUCCGCAGGUCCCCCAGGGCCUCCUGGUCCUCGCCAUGUACCAUCUCCGCUCAAUUUAGAAGAAGUCCAGAAGAAAGUUGCUGAGCAGACCUUCAUUAAAGAUGAUUACUUAGAAACACUCUCAUCUCCUAAAGAGUGUGGGUUGGGACAGAGAGCAACUCCACCUCCCCCACCACCACCCACCUACAGGACUGUGGUCUCGUCCCCCGGACCUGGCUCGGGCAGUGGUACGGGGACCACCAGUGGUGCGUCUUCUCCUGCUCGACCAGCCACCCCCUUAGUUCCUUGCAGCACCACUCCGCCUCCACCUCCUCCCCGGCCUCCAUCCCGGCCAAAGCUACCUCCAGGAAAGCCUGGAGUUGGAGAUGUGUCCAGACCUUUUAGCCCACCCAUACACUCCUCCAGCCCUCCUCCGAUAGCACCCUUAGCCCGGGCUGAAAGCACUUCUUCAAUAUCGUCAACUAACUCACUGAGCGCAGCCACCACUCCCACAGUUGUGUCAGAAGAUGAUGUUUUUUAUGACAAACUGCCCUCGUUUGAAAGGCGCUGUGACACGCCUGCAGGUUCCUCCCGGGGGCCCAGUCCCCUAACUAUGGGGGCCCAGGACACCCUCCCGGUCGCAGCAGCUUUCACAGAAACUGUCAACGCCUACUUCAAAGGAGCAGAUCCAAGCAAGUGCAUUGUUAAGAUCACGGGAGAAAUGGUGUUGUCCUUCCCUGCUGGUAUCACCAGACACUUUGCCAACAACCCAUCCCCAGCAGCUCUGACUUUCCGGGUGGUAAAUUCCAGCAGGUUAGAGCACGUCCUGCCGAACCCCCAACUUCUCUGCUGUGAUAAUACACAAAAUGAUGCCAAUACCAAGGAAUUCUGGGUAAACAUGCCAAAUUUGAUGACUCACCUAAAGAAAGUCUCUGAACAAAAACCCCAGGCUACAUACUAUAAUGUGGACAUGCUCAAAUAUCAGGUGUCUGCCCAGGGCAUUCAGUCCACACCUCUGAACUUGGCGGUGAACUGGCGCUGUGAGCCUGCGAGCACUGACCUGCGCAUAGACUAUAAGUACAACACGGAUGCCAUGUCCACUGCAGUGGCCCUCAACAACGUGCAGUUCCUGGUCCCCAUAGACGGAGGAGUGACCAAGCUUCAGGCUGUGCUUCCUCCAGCAGUCUGGAAUGCUGAACAACAAAGAAUAUUAUGGAAGAUUCCCGAUAUCUCCCAGAAGUCAGAAAAUGGAGGUAAUUGUAGUCACGGGCUUAAAUCUGACAUAACUUACAGGUAUUGGCCAACUAUGAACCCAAAGCCACGUACCCCUAGAAGCUUUGUUAGUCUUUCUUUACUUACUAACAUCUAUCAAAGCAAGUUGGCUUUUAGGGGACCUUUCUCUCUCCUUUCCCACCAAGCCCUCAACUCCCACGUAGACCACGGCAUGAGUCCGCCCUGUGUCAUGUCCCCGUAGAUGCUUUUCUUUCUCCCUCUGAUGUAAAUCACAGGCUGGAAAGGAUGUAGCCAUCCUUGUAGCACGUCACAAAUUUCAAAGUACCGCUCUGCUGACGUGCCCCGACCAGCUGCUCAGGCUCCUCAAAGAUGCUUUGCUCACUCUCAUUUUGCAAACAAAGAAUACGCUGCUUCCUCGGCUGCCCAGUCUUGCACAGUUCACCUCAAGUGUGACUUCAAAGUUGCAUGCAGAGUGCUGCCAACUGCUGUCUUGCGGUAACGCUCUUCUUUUAAAGGCGUAGGUUCUUUACUGGCGAGAUUUCAGUUAUCCGAAGGCCCGAGCAAACCUUCCCCGCUGGUUGUGCAGUUCACGAGUGAAGGAAGUACUCUCUCUGGCUGUGACAUUGAACUUGUUGGAGCAGGCUACCGGUUUUCACUCAUUAAGAAGAGGUUUGCUGCAGGAAAGUACUUGGCAGAUAACUAAUAAAAGGUCAUGCAAGGAUUUGGAAGAUCCAUGCCCUGGAGAACUGUUGUUUGAGAGACAUGUUUUAAUCUGGCUUGAUGAACACAAACCGAUGUCCGUACUUGGGGUCUGUCAGCUGGAAAGUCCCGGCAUUCAGCAGUGACUUCCGGCACCCAGUACUGUGCUGCUCAGUUCUGCAGUAUUUACUUAUAGGUGUAAUAUUUGUUAAUGGUUUUAAAAUGUAAUUAUUGUAUUUGUAAACUGUACCUUCAUUCCAGUAAGGCAGUUAGACACUUGGGUUUUAGCAUUUUCCAUUCCUGAAACGGAUGUAAUAAUUUAAUAGUAGUACUGUUGAACGGCACAAUGCUUACAGAGAUACAGCGCAUUUUGUCAAUAUAUAAAAUUUAAAUAUAAUGUUGAUAGUUAUCAUAAAGGGGGUGCCACACAUCGAGAACCUUAAACAGAACCAGAAACAAAACACCCAGCUAACUUUCCUUCACUCUUUACUAUGUUUCCCUCUAGUGCUAAAGAAAACUUCUAGCUUCAGUUUAGUGGGUUAAAUUCACAAACUAUUUCAGAGGAAAAAAAAUUCUAAAGUUACAGCCUAUUCAAAGAGAAACAUUAAUUACCACUUUUUAAAGAGCUUUUUUUUCAAACUGCAAAUUUCAUAAAAAUGCAAACUGUGUAAACAGGGCCUCUUAUUUUUAUAACUUGUGUAAAAAGGGAAAAGCAAUUCAUAUUUAAAGUUUAAGUAUAUUAAAUUAUAUCCAAGAGGGCAGAGGAUGCUGAAGUCUGACCUGACCCCAGCCCCUUCUGUGCCGUUUAGCAAAUGUGGAGAUUGCUAAGUCAUCGCAUUAAAGCCAACAUGAUUUUUAAAGUUUGAGACUUUAUGUAGCUGAACUGGUUAAAACUUUUGCACAAUUGCUCGGGACACAGGGGCCUCUCUCGUCCAGCAUCCAGGGGUGGGUACCUUGUUUCUUCUUUACUCAUGAGAAUCAAAACACAGAGAAGGAUGGAGGAAAACAAAUAGUCCCCUGGUCCAUCCAAAAGGAGAAUUCUAAACUUAUCAUUUACAUCUUUGGGGGGAAGGAAGAAAUAAACUUUAUAAAUGAAAUUCUAUUCACCUUGUUAUGAAUAUUUUUGAAUGAUUUUAAGAUUCAUCAUAUACAACUGUGAAUCUCUGCCGCUCUUGGGGAAUUGAAAGCAGAGUCGGGACAGUGGCUUUGAACAUAGUAAAUGCCACAGUUCUGGGAGUGGGGGACGGUGUCUGCCCCACCGGAGGGCAAUCAAAGCAGUGUCGUGUGAGGCCUAAAGAAGAAGUCUUCCAGUAAACCACAAGUUAUUUUAAACAGAAAAGUUCCUGUUUGGGGCUCUCCCACUGAGUUGGCCUGUGUAGCAUUUGCUGCUGAAUCACAUUUUGUAUCCACUCAAAUCUGACAAGGAGUGGUCAACUCCUUUUCAAUUUUAGAAUCAAAUUAAAAAUUUUUUAAGUCUUACUUCAACAGUGAGAUUGUGGUUGGCAGUUGUUUCUAGUGAGCUCUGUAGAUUUAUCUAUGUUCUCUUCGAUCAACGCUUGCUACCAAAAGGAUGUCCAAGAGGAUUUUUACCUGCAAACAAUUCAUUUAUUUAAAAUAGGCUCCUGCCUAAUUCCCCAAAGCAGUCCGGCUUUGAAGGUUUUUUGAACAAACUAAUUUGUUGACCAAAAAGUUUGGCUUUGAAACCGAAAUAGAGAAAUAAAAUGUAAAUUUUAAAUCUAAUAGAACAAGUGGAAAUGAAAACACUUAAACCAAUGGAGAGUAUGAAGCAGAAAAAAAAAAAUGAAGCUGAUCUAAAAUGUGAUUAUACAAUGUUUUUAAGUAGUCAGUUCAUGGAAAAAUAUUGAAUAUUAACACAAAGCAUAUUAAAAAUAUGUAAAUAUUACUGUUUCUCAUGUCUUUCUCUUUAUAUCUUAUUUUGUGAAGUUUUAGAAUGAAUUGGUCAUUAAGUAUGCAGUGUUUCUUUCCAAAGAAUAAUUUUGUUGAUAUUGUAAAAAUGUAAUUAAAGAUAGAGAUUUGAGUAGUCUCUAACAUUAUUCAAAUGUUUCCAGGAACCAAAUUGGAAAGUAUGAAGAAAUCUUGUAAUCCCUUAAUUGACUAUUGUGAAAUGAAACGACAGUUGGUGAUCUCAAAAUUAAGACGUGAAAAUUCAGAGCUUCAGUGGGGAAUGGGUGGUUCCUUCCAGUUCAGAUAACAACAGUUGCUCAUUUCAGAGAUGGAGAUGUUGGUGCUGUUUGGUUUUAAGCUUGUGCAAUUUCAUCUUCUGGUGAAGCUCUGUGUGCAGCACUAUAGGAUAAAAAUUCAUAUUCUGAGACAAGGUCCAAGACUAGGCAGACCAGGUCUCAGUUAUCAGUGUCAAUCGGGUCAGGUUCCCUUUUGUCCAAACAAAAUGGGUUAGCUCAUAGACAGAUGGUUGGCAGGACAGUAAGCUAAAUUAAGACAAUUAAGAGCAAUUUCCUAAACACUCUGACUUUUAAGGCUGAUAGAAAGUAUGCAUGUUUUAUUUUGGUGACAUGGAAAGUAUGUAUUCCUCUUCAAACCAAUCCCAUAUUUUUAUGAAAUUUUCCAAAAUAAAUUCCUGUUUAAACUAGUUUCCAUUUUAUCAUAAUGGGGACUUGCCACUGCUUAUCUGAAACUCUCUGAGAUCCACCGACGGCUAAAAGGAGCGUUCCCUGUAUGCCAUUUGGGACGCCGCUUGCCUCGAAAGCCUGUUCCUGUGCAAAUGGUGACUGGAAAGUCCAAGAGCAGAUGCUUGUGCAUUUCGGCAGUGUGUAUACUUCUCCCCUGUCUCAGUCUGCAAAGUAUCCGAGCCGUCCUCACACACAUUUGCACCUUUAAUUCUUCUUUUGAAGGAAGCAAAUCUACCUUUGCUCUGCCAGCGAUACCUGAUGGGCAAACGCAGAUGUGCCCCUGCCUUCUUCUCACCUUUAUGGUGAGAGUGGAUCCAUAUGCAAUUUUCACAUUUUCCUUAAUGGGACUUCUAAUUUUUUUUUUCUAACAAGCUUGUGCCUAGAACCCUAUAUAGCAGAAUGUUGCCAAGCAGGGAAGGGGCUUCUCCAGACCCUGAAACAUUGCAUCACAAUAUGUAAAUGAUUCCAAAGUAACUUCUAACUCUGAAGACGUACACUUCUACUUAACCCAGAUAAACUACCUUCUGAGACUCUAAGAACAUGUGUAAUAAUAGUGGUUAGCUGCUGUACAAUAAAAAAUAGCAAAAUGGCUGUACAGUACGGUGUACUGUGAGCCCUCCUCGGCUGCCAGACACUGCAGAUAUCACUGCAUUCUACCUUAGACUCCAAAAUGGCAAAAAGCCUUUUCAGUCUGUGUUUUCCCAGCGAUGGUAUUGAGGCUUGGGUUGAUUCAUUUCCCCCAAAGUGUCAUCACAGCUAGUAAUGACCUCAAUUAUCCUGACAAUAGAAUGAGUACCUUGCUGUUUCAUCUGGUUCCCUUUGAUAAAACCAUCAACUUGAAUGUCAAGACAAGUGGCACUCUGUAAAGUCUGCAUUGAAAGUGUUAAAGAGAAACUUGAUAAGAUAAUCAUUUUAAAAGAACGGAUGUUUCUCUUCAAAGGAUGAACUGUGAGACCCCUUGUUUCCAACCAAUCAUAGUAAUGAUUUAAAUUGAGGCCCUUUUACAUUCAGAACCUAGCCAGACUGCAGUGAGUACCAGCAAGUCUUCAUCAAUCUCUAGGGAUAAAACUUGGGAAUCUAUACAUUGAGAAGUUCCCAAAAGCUGAGCAUUGUGGCCCUAAUAAUUCUCUAGAGCACUUUUUACUGCUCACAUUAUAGUGGACUUAAGCAUUUAAUUUCUACGAUAAAUGCUAUUUUUCUAAUGUUUUCUCCCAAUUCAGUCCAAUUAAUAGUAGCUCCUGGCUUGCAAGACACACUCAGACAGUAAACCUGGAAACUGACUUUAUUUCACAAACUCUUGGCUUUAUAAACAUAGAUAAGCCUCACGCUGAGAAGAAUUUUACCAAUUUUUGCUUUGCUUUGUCUUUCCUUAAACGAAGUACAGGUUGCCAGAGAAAGCUGAAUGAUAGUAAUAUAUGCAAAUAUACACUAGAAAGAGAGAGAUUAGAGAGAGAGAAAGAGAGAGAAAGAAAAUAUGUUAGAGAUUUCUCUUCUCCCAAAGAGGAUGUAUUUUGCAAAAUCCCAGUCAAAUAUAUUUAUUUUGUCAUGUGACCUUUUUCUGUUGAAUUACUUCUAAAACCUAAAAUUGAGGGGUUUUUUAGUGGCAUCAGCGUGGGCCAGAAUAUAGCUUAGAAACUUAAUAUAAGGCAAUGUGAUGGUCCCAUGAUGCCCCCUCCUGACGUUUACCUUAACCAAUGAGUCAAAUUGUUAGUGUAAAUACUUAAAUCAAGCCAAGUGGCAUUGAUUAAGGAGACUCUUAUAACGAACCUCCACGAUCACUCUCUGAAUUGAUCUCAGCUUUAUUCGACUUGCCCCCCUCCUUGACCUUUUUGCUUGUGUUAUGUUGGUUUUGUUUCUUCGUUUGGCACACAGUGUAGAACACAACUCUCUCGCUUAUGAAUUACCUAUGGCUUCUCUCGUGUUUCAUGUUAAUCCGUAGACUGAGGAGGAGGAAUGAGACCAGACUGCUCUCUUUACAUCUUCAAAUAUUAAAAAGGAACAAACAAAAAGUACUGGCCUUCUUCACCCAUCACUGCUCUGGGGCUGUGCUAUCUAGAGUAAGCCAGAGACACAUUGUUAAUGUCCAACUGAAAUAACAUUCCUUCUUGAAACACUGUCAAUUCUUAUGAUCAGCCUUUUAGACUGGUCCCAUGUUUAGUUUCUGCCUUCUAUCCUAAAUAUGUGUAGUGCCGGGGGCAGGUGUGUGUGUGUGUGUGUGUGUGUGUGUGUGUGUGUGUGUGUGUCACAGAUUGUGGACAUGUAUCAUGGAUAUAAUAAUUUAUUCUCCAAACUGAACUUCUGUCUUCCUCCCUUUAUUCCCGGAGUACAUUUAGCCUGUGCUAAACACAUCUUUUGCCUCAUAAGAAAAAAGAGAUUUCAGUACAAAGCCAGUGCAGAUUAAAGUGACCCUUAAUGCUGUUUUAAAGAAAAAGUGGCAUAUUCGAUACUACAUCCACCAGUAUUUUCCAAAUCAUGUUUGAUUUAUUAGCACAAGCAAACAUUCAUUGUGUUCUGAAACAACGUGGUCCUGUGUCACAGCUGUCUCUCUUCAGAUAUGGGCAAUAACUUUCAAAGUCCUCAUGAAACUUAGAGUGUCCCUAAACUGGUCAGGGUCUUUUUAAGUAUAAGAGUAGCCCUUAAAAAGCUUUAGGAAACGCCCCGUCUAAUUAUAAUUCACAGCUCCAUCGAAGGAUAUGUAAAUCAAAUUAUAUAAGAAAGAUCAUUGUAGCUUUAAGGGAAUUUUGCCCAUUGGAAGUGAGUUGUUAUGUGUGCUCACUAAUAUCUUUCAGUGAGUUUUAAUUUUAUUUUCUAAAGAACUCUUAACCCCACGUGGAAAUUGUUUCACUUUUUAAAGAUUUGAAUCUCUGAUCAAUACUUCAAGCCCCCAUUGUUGAAAGGUUGAACAUCCUUGGAGUAAUUGACUCUAGUGAAGACUCUUUAGUUAUCGUGUCAGAAUCCUGUUAGAGCCAUGCUGAUAGUUUUACGUAACUUUUGGACUGCUAUGAAAACAUUCUCGUUAGAGCCAAAUGCAGUGCACUGUUUUCUCAGCAUACACUCAGAGGACUAACCCUGAGGUAGGCUUCGGUUUUUGGUUUUGUUUUUUUUUUUUUUUUUUUGUUAUUGUUGUUGUUGGUUUUUUUUUGGGGGGGGGUUGGUUUUUUUUUCUUUUUUACUUUUUAAAAAAAAAUAAUCAUUUUUACAUAAAAUCAAAUUUAAAAGAUGUUUAUUUAAAAUUGUUUGUAGCAGACAGAAAUGACAUUUAUGUUUUCUGAACAUAAUUCAAAAACUUUAAUCCCCUCAGAGUCUGUGAGUUAUUACCUGAAAGACAAGCUACCCAUAAAUUUCCCGCUUCCUAGACUAAGCAUAUAUUAAUUCCACCUGACUCAGCCAACUUCAUUAUCUUAUUGGCAUCUUUUCUGGCAAAAUGAAUCUCAUGUAUUCGUCAUCACCUUAAGCUAGUUAAAAUAAUAAACUGCAAGACUGCCUCAGACCACCCAAUACCUGGUGUUUUUCUUCGGAGUGGCUGGGAUGACAUUUCUUAAAGCUGCAUUGACUCCACAGGUUGGUGUUUAAUUACUGCUUUUUAAAAUGAACAUGCAUGGAAGAGAUGGGUGCCUCUCCCUCUGUCUUCCUACCCCUUCCAUCCUCCUGCAUCCUCCUCCCAUCUCCCCCACACACACCCCCACCCCACUUGGCCCCUUAACUCAGUCAAAGGGACCUGGAUAAUUGCUGUUGAAUGAUCAUUUUGGAACCCAGCAGGAGCUGCAGCGGUAACACUAGAGCCCUCCCUACUAGCAGAGGAGGAAUUUCCAGGGCUGAUUUUAGGCUGUUUGAACACUAUUGUGUUUCAAAUGAAAAGGUUUUCUCAUUAGUUUUUCCCUUGUGUAGGGCAAAACCUCUGAAUGAAAUGACCAGUUUGAAUCAUCAGUUCCUAACAAGUGGCAGUGUAAGCCAUUUGGGUUUUACUGUUAACAAUAAGAAACUAAGAAAGGCAUCACAGAGAAAUGUUGCUGUGUUUCUAACUUAGAGUUAUGCAAUCCAUCGGGUCAGUGAAGAUGUUUAUCAGUGUGUACUUUGACCUGGUAGUGGCCUUUAUUUCAGAUUAUCCGUGACCCACGUAGCAAUGUACACUGACUCUCUGUAUAAUCCUCUGCUACAUGUACCAUCGCACAAAACAUCUCGGGCAUCAAAUAUUCACAGAAGAAACGGUGUGUUCAAAUAUUCAAGUAUAUUUAAAUUUUAGUCAGAAAGUCAGUGCCUCGUCUUUCUUCCCUCCUGCUCAUUUCAACAGUGUGUGACUUACUGGCCCAGUAUGGCUUACUGCUUCCUGUGAGCUCAGCCCGGCAGCAGCAGAGGCUUGCUCCCUCUGACGACCCACCGCUAUGAGCUCUCUACAGGGCAAGCAGGACAGAAAUGCGGCUGAACUGAUUGAAGAUAAUAAUCAUGAUACCAUCUCCAUAUCACUCACCUUAUGAGUUAGUAAAAGUGUGGAUAUCAUUUUUUGUAACUGGUGAUUUUUAUAAAUGUCCUUGCCUUCAUAGUCCUUCCAGUCACCCAUCUCACAAAAUCUUGAAUAUGCAAUUAUUCUUCAUGACACAUUACUGCAAAUAGGGUUCCCAUUUGAAAAUGCAGUUUAAUGUAAGUUGUUAUUGAAUUGUGAUUUUUUUUUCCUGGAAAAUAAAUGGAAAAAAUAUGAAAAUAAA
RNA transcript from Mus musculus (house mouse), 10929 nucleotides. It is a transcript of the gene named SH3-domain GRB2-like (endophilin) interacting protein 1, with no coding region annotated. The record is from RefSeq and is marked validated. Lineage: Eukaryota; Metazoa; Chordata; Mammalia; Rodentia; Muridae. The transcript has 26 exons.